UACGUAGGGUGCAAGCGUUGUCCGGAAUUAUUGGGCGUAAAGAGCUCGUAGGCGGUCUGUCGCGUCGGCUGUGAAAUCCCGGAGCUCAACUCCGGGUCUGCAGUCGAUACGGGCAAACUGGAGUACUGCAGGGGAGACUGGAAUUCCUGGUGUAGCGGUGAAAUGCGCAGAUAUCAGGAGGAACACCGAUGGCGAAGGCAGGUCUCUGGGCAUUAACUGACGCUGAGGAGCGAAAGCAUGGGGAGCGAACAGG
RNAcentral lists this ribosomal RNA (253 nucleotides) under uncultured bacterium. Its description in RNAcentral is "partial 16S ribosomal RNA". It matches the Rfam family "Bacterial small subunit ribosomal RNA", at positions 524 to 776 of the family's 1533-position model. The record is from RNAcentral.